Molecule: ribosomal RNA, 134 nt
Filed under: uncultured archaeon
Lineage: Archaea
Description: partial 16S ribosomal RNA
Rfam family: Archaeal small subunit ribosomal RNA
Source: RNAcentral
UAAAAAGCAUUUCAAAACAAGGGCCGGGCNAGNNANNCCCUACGGGGUGCACCAGGCGCGAAAACUUUACAAUGCUGGCAACAGCGAUAAGGGAACCUCGAGUGCCAGGUUACAAAUCUGGCUGUCGAGAUGCC